UCAGCAGCUCCAUUUAGUGACGAGUGAACAGUAAAAGAUUUGAGGAGUAAAAACACAAAUGAUGGAGGGAAAGAGUUCAGACUCACCAGAACCCAGCUGUGUGUCCAUGAAGAGUGACCAGUCAAUGGGACUUCCAUUUAACUUCAGAGACAGAGACAGUUCUACUGAUGAGAGACCACAAAAAUCAAACAUCAGGAGAAAUCAGCUGGACUCUAUAUUCAAGG
This is a long non-coding RNA of Tachysurus fulvidraco (yellow catfish), 224 nucleotides long. RefSeq lists it as uncharacterized. Lineage: Eukaryota; Metazoa; Chordata; Actinopteri; Siluriformes; Bagridae. The transcript has 3 exons. The record is from RefSeq and is a predicted model, not a curated record.